AGCGAGGUUGCCCUUUGUAUAUUCUGUUUAUUGACAUGCAAUAUACAAGGGCAAGCUCUCUGU
Molecule: microRNA precursor, 63 nt
Filed under: Otolemur garnettii (small-eared galago)
Lineage: Eukaryota; Metazoa; Chordata; Mammalia; Primates; Galagidae
Description: microRNA oga-mir-381 precursor
Gene: oga-mir-381
Source: miRBase by way of RNAcentral